Molecule: long non-coding RNA, 286 nt
Filed under: Zostera marina
Lineage: Eukaryota; Viridiplantae; Streptophyta; Magnoliopsida; Alismatales; Zosteraceae
Description: long non-coding RNA (ZMAR_LNC004182)
Source: RNAcentral
UGAGGUGAUAGGUAUGGUCACGAUUUUUAGGGUUUAUUGUUUGGAAAUUCAGAAUAAAUACCAAAGUCUGCUCGAGCAGCCAUUGCAGACUGCAUACAACAGGCCAAGGGAUUCAUGACUCACGAGUCAUGAAUCAAAAAACAAAAAACAAAAAUCCACAUUACAUGUCAUUUCAUAAGACUUUAAUGCUUUAAGAAGUUUAGUAGGGUUUUACUCUACUUACAAUAAUCCAUCCAUAACAAAUUACUAUCUUAAGAUCUGCUGAAGUUGAACGACCUGUUGUCUU